This 334-nucleotide ribosomal RNA is filed under the name uncultured bacterium. Its description in RNAcentral is "bacterial SSU rRNA". It matches the Rfam family "Bacterial small subunit ribosomal RNA", at positions 29 to 348 of the family's 1533-position model. The record is from RNAcentral.
AGCGAACGUUAGCGGCGCGCCUAACACAUGCAAGUCGCACGAGAAAGGGAGCAAUCCCCGGUACAGUGGCGCACGGGUGAGUAACACGUAGAUGACCUUCCCUGGAGUGGUGGAUAACCUGCCGAAAGGCGGGCUAAUACAGCAUGGGACCACAUGGUUUUGACCGAGUGGUGAAAGCGGGCCUCUGUUCACAAGCUCGCGCUCUGGGAUGGGUCUGCGUCCCAUCAGCUAGUUGGUGAGGUAAUGGCUCACCAAGGCAUUCGACGGGUAGCUGGUCUGAGAGGAUGACCAGCCACACUGGAACUGAGACACGGGUCCAGACUCCUACGGGAGG